UUUUGCAGGCGGUGGCUCAACUUGCUGGGCCACAACAAGAACCCCAAUCCAGUUCCUUUCCAAUGCACCUGGAAAGCACUUGAAAAAAUACCUGCACCUCUGUCACUCAUGUGGUACACCAGGAUGGUGUGCCAGGCUCCUGGCUGUUGUGGCUACUGGGGAGUAAACCAGCAGAUGGAAAAUAUCUCUCUCUUCUCUCUACACUUGAUCUUAGCUGUGGGGCUCCAUGGGAUGCACAGCCAUGGAGCCCCCACGUCAAGGUCGGUCUGAUAGCUGUUGCUGUGUCUUUAUCACAUGGCGGAUGUUGCUAGUUUCGGUUAGGGCAAUGCUUUCCCAUGGUCGGGACUUUCCAGAGGAGUUGAGAAUGUUGUAAACAACAAGAUGGCGCCUGAGGACCGUGCGGUGAGCCUGCCUGCUGCGUGACACCUCAUCUGAUUGGCCCGAGGACGCGUGCACACUGCGUGAACAGACAGCGGAUUGGAGUGUUCCGUGUAUGGACUUGAGCCUGCUUGCAAUUGGCCAGAUUUUGUAUAUAAGCUAUGUGCUGAGGAAGGAGGGGGCUUUCCUGUCCACUCUCCUCCUUUCAUUCUUUCUCUGUCACUGUUAUUUUCCCAUUAAAAAUCUACUGAAGACCGAUAAGCUGCAAACAGUGUCGUUCCUUUGCGGGCAAGGGAGCGGCAAGUGGUGCCGUGACUCGGAUCCAGACCACUUUCUACACACAGGAAUAGGUAAGGAACAAAAGGUAAGCGUGCGUGUGCAUGGAAAUCCAGCUGGGGAAAGAAUAGAAACCGCGGUUCCGUCGAAGAAAGACGGGGAAACUAAGCGCCAGAAAAAAGGGUAAAGGAAUCCCUUAAAAGGCGGGAGUACAAAGUGUUCAGAAAUGCCAGGAAAUAGGCGGAAACUUCCUUUUUACCUCCAAAUGGACAAUACUCAGAAACUUCCUUUUUACCUCCAAAUGGACAAUACUCCGUCCACCACUAGGUUGCGCAUGCUGUUGAGCUGCUUGUUAAAAGCUGUGGGGACGCCCAUUAAGGCGGCUACAGUAUGCACAUUCACUAGGGCCGUUGCCAAGACGUCACCAUGGUUUGUGGAAGGUGGCCAAUUAGAUGAGCAACAGUGGCAGAGAGUAGGGAGACAGUUGAGAGCAGCCGGAGAGCCGGUAGAAAUACUUAGAUUAUGGCAACUCACUGACCAGACACUUCAGAACCCCACUGAGAGCAUAGGGCUUUUACUUGAUGAAGGAUGUGAGCUCCUAGAGAAGGUUCAGGAGGAGUCUCGGCAUGAUAGUCAAUCUAGUGACUGUGGUAGUCAGUUGGACAGGAAACAGAUGGACAAAGGUCCCUGUAGGGACGAGCCACUGGAUGAGACAGAGGAAAAUUCAAUGAAGGACCAUCCCCCAUUGAGUGCACCCCUGCGCUCGAGGGGGCCAUCUCAUUUAUAUCCCAGUUUGACUAGGCUAGCAAAUUUGUCCUUAGAGGAUGAACCGCCACUGUGGUAUCAUCCAUUGACUCUCCCUAAAUCAGCCCCUAGGAAAAAAAAAAAAAAGCUAUAAAGACUCCAUUACAGAUACAGGGAAUAGGGUUAAACAAGGUGAGCCAUAGAACGGUCGGUUCAUUAAUGCUAUAAAAAUAGUCAGUCCUUGGUUCGAAAAAGGAGUCGUGAAUAAGCAACAUUGGGAUUUACUCAGAAAAAACUUAAAUGUGCAUUUAAAAAAACAAAGCAAGCCGUGACAAAGGCUGUGAAAACUUUGUUACAGAUGUAGAAAAUAGGGUUAAAGAAACAAACUGUAGAGCAGCUUAUCAGUGCUGUUAAAAAAUUAGUCCUUGGUUUGCUGAAGAGGGUGUUGUGAAUAAGAAACACUGGGAGUAAAAAAUAUAGAUCAGUGUACACUGGACAGCCCUCACCUUGCAUUUAAAUAUUUCAUUUGAAGUAAAUGUUCUCUGUUAUAAAGUUCAUAUUACUAUGUGAAAUGAGAAAUUGUGGUGACAAAGUGUCCGGACUAUCCAUUCUGUUUUUGUUUUAUGUACUAACUCUACCCCUAUUAUUGAUAGGAAUGCUUGAGCAGAUUAUGCUUGGUUUGCUUUACAAAAAGAAAAAAAAUGUAAGUCAAAAUAUGCCACAAGUAGUUAGGAUUCCACAAACCUGCAAAAAUGUAAUAAUUACAGAUAAUAAGAGGCUAGUUCCCUCAGAUAUGUUUCAAUUUAUCCUUAAAACACAUUGAAUAUUAUUGUGUGUAAUUGGUAAAUGUAUGCUUGUAUGAAAAAUUUGUAUUAUAUUCUUAUGAUGUAUUAAUUAUGCCUAUACCUUGGUGCAACCCUAGGGCCAAAUGUAAGGACAGAUUUUUGGGAUGGAGAGGCUUGUAUCUAGGUUUGGCUCUGAUCAACAAGUAACUUGUCUGCUGGAUGACCUUCUCCUGCUCCUUGGGAGCCUGGCCAGCUCCCGGGGCGGGGGAUAAAGGAAGGUUUUCUGAUAAACAGGUGGGCAUGCUUCAUGUCUCUGCUCUCUGGCCAAGAUCCAGGAUGGGACGCACUGCUUGCCUAACAUCUUGGCAAUGAGCCACCCUUGUCCUUGAGGGAUUUAAGGAGUAGCCGGAGCAAGCCUCUGCUGCUGCUGUUUCAUCCUGGGGGAAUAUGCAGUCAAGCUGAAUGUUAAACAUGCCCGUGAUGAUUACUAAUGAUGUUUAAUUCUCAGUAUGGAUCCUUUUCUGGUGCUGUGUGAAGAUUGCCUAGUAAUGCCCAUAGUACUGUAAAUUCUACAAAACAUAACUACAACACAUAUAUGGAUCGAUUGGCUAUGGUGGCUGAGGUGUUCUGUGACAGUCCCUUUAAUAAAAAAUUAACAAAUUAAAUUAAUUUAAAAAACAGAACAUUCAGAACCUGCCACUCUGCUCGGUAUGUCAUUACAAAAAUCAACAAGAAGGACUAUGCCUGAUAAGUGAGGGUGCUAUCAAUAUGGGCAACAGGGACAUGUACAAAUAUUGUCCAAAAGUCAAACAUCAAAAAAGCCCCUCCUCCUGGGAUUUGCCCCUGGUGCUAAAGGAAAAGGCAUUGGGCCAAUAAAUGUCACUCCAAAACUGAUAAAAAAAAAAAAAGAUAAUUCCUUAAAUAAAUAAAGUUCAGAAAACUAAAAGCAGGGCUGGCCCCAGGCCCCAUCCCAACAAAUUUUGGGGGCCAUGACAUUUGUUCCUCAACAGAACACCCUAAAUCUGUCAAUUUCCUCCACAGAGCCACAGAGGGUAGUGCAGGACUGGACCUCAGUGCCACCUCCUAUACAGUAUUGACCCCUGAGAUGGGCCCACAAGGCCUCCCUACUGGGAUUUUUGGUCCUUUGCCAACUAGGUUUUUUGGUCUCCUACUGGGCAGAAGUAGUAUAACUAUGAAAGGGUUACAGGUUUUUCCUGGAGUUAUAAACACUGACUUUACUGGUGAGAUAAAAAUUAUGACUCAAGCCAAUAAUGUAACUUUAACUCCAGGACAAUGCAUUGCUCACUUGAUUCUGUUCCCCUUCUCUUCAAUUGGUAAGUCUUUUUUAAAUAAAAGAGAAAAUAAUGGUUUUGGAUCUUCUGAUGCUUAUUGGAUACAACCCAUAACUAAGGACCAACCCAAAUUUUUCUUAAAAUUAAAUAAAAAGUUAUUCAGUGGUCUUUUAGAUACUGGAGCUCAUGUCUCUGUUAUUUCAGCAGCGAGCUGGUCCACAAAUUGAAAAAAGAAAAUUACCAUAACUCAAUUGCAAGGUAUUGGUCGGAGUCAAAGAUUAACACAAAGUUCCAAAUUGCUGCAAUGGGAGGAUGAAGCAGAUGGACGUUUUGCAGCUGAUCAACAGUGGCAUCCACAAACAGCUGGGGUAAGAACAAUGGUACAAUGGAAGGAUCCUAUCACCAAUCAAUGGAAUGGACCUGAUCCAGUACUGGUAUGGGACAUGGGCUCUUAAGGGAUGGGUAUUUUUAUGCAACCAAUUUGCUUUUGCAUUGUUAGCCCCUAAUGAUUUUUGCAACUGCUCAUUGGGCCGUGUGGCCCCGAUGCUAACAUCUGUAUUUCCAAAGGCAUGACAGCGACGCUCAUUACCUUAGAACUGUGAUGAUGAUGUCAUCUUAAUUGGAGACCUGCUUUCACCAUGGCUAUACAGCUAGUGGGAGUUCCUGGAUUGGCUUAUGGAAAUAAUCGUGGACUGUGAAGGCUUACACGUUUGGUGGCCAAAACAAUCAAUCUUACUGCUACUGCGCUAUCCACUAUAGCUGAAGAAUUGGAUCAAGUUCGUUCAGGAGUACUCCUAAACCGAGCAGCUAUCGAUUAUUUGCUGUUAAAAGAUCAUAUAAGCUGUAAAUCUGUACCAGGGGAAUGUUGUUUUAAUAUUACUAACAAUGCCAUAUAUAGAGUCUGUUAUUGAUAAACUUAAGAGUAAAAUGCAACAUAUGUUUUUUACUAACCCACUAACAUUUGAAGGGUUUCAAUGGAUUCGUUGGUUAUUAAUGCGGGCUGGAUUGCUACUGCUUUUCAUACUUUGUAUGGGAUGUUUUCCGUGUGUUCUGCAAUUUGUGCUAACUUCGCUACAGUCUGUAUGGACAGACAUUCAUCACUUAAAACUUCGUACCAAACCUCCUUUGUAAUCAAAAAUAAUUAAUAUUUGGCUGUAUGUUUCAUCUCUCACCUAAUGUUGGGCUAAAAUGGUACUCAAAAAUGGGUAAGACACUCCACAUCCUGUACCUACCUAAGACAGGGCUCAAGUUAAAGAAUGGGUCGCUAUCGGUUGCUUGUUUGUCGUGGUACUACUGGGCCUUGCCUUCAUCGCCAGAUGGAUCAGAGCCUUAGCACUCCGUCAGCAGAAUACCAACUUGAUAAUCCAACAGGCUAUGCUGGCCACCUUGCGAUCUCACCCCAAUAAAAAAGUAUGGCUUAGCAUGAUGGAGCGGUAGUCAAAGACGGGUAAACACUGAUGGGCGCUCCUAGCAACCUAAGACAGAGGGUAGGACAGGCUUCCUAUUACCUCCAUGACGGGUAAGCAGGUAGCGCGCCAUUGGGUACCUAAGACAGGCACAUUUCCAUGCCAUUUAAAUAAUAAAGAAGGGGGAGAUGUGGGGCUCCAUGGGAUGCACAGCCAUGGAGCCCCCACGUCAAGGUCGGUCUGAUAGCUGUUGCUGUGUCUUUAUCACAUGGCGGAUGUUGCUAGUUUCGGUUAGGGCAAUGCUUUCCCAUGGUCGGGACUUUCCAGAGGAGUUGAGAAUGUUGUAAACAACAAGAUGGCGCCGAGGACCGUGCGGUGAGCCUGCCUGCUGCGUGACACCUCAUCUGAUUGGCCCGAGGACGCGUGCACACUGCGUGAACAGACAGCGGAUUGGAGUGUUCCGUGUAUGGACUUGAGCCUGCUUGCAAUUGGCCAGAUUUUGUAUAUAAGCUGUGUGCUGAGGAAGGAGGGGGCUUUUCUGCCCACUCUCCUCCCUUCAUUCUUUCUCUGUCACUGUUAUUUUCUCAUUGAAAGUCUACUGAAGACCGAUAA
Oryctolagus cuniculus (rabbit) is the source of this 5493-nucleotide non-coding RNA. The record is from RefSeq and is a predicted model, not a curated record. Lineage: Eukaryota; Metazoa; Chordata; Mammalia; Lagomorpha; Leporidae.